This 439-nucleotide ribosomal RNA is filed under the name uncultured bacterium. RNAcentral's name for it is "partial 16S ribosomal RNA". It matches the Rfam family "Bacterial small subunit ribosomal RNA", at positions 339 to 795 of the family's 1533-position model. The record is from RNAcentral.
CUACGGGCUGCAGCAGUGAGGAAUAUUACACAAUGGGGGAAACCCUGAUGCAGCAACGCCGCGUGGAGGAUGACGCAUUUCGGUGUGUAAACUCCUUUUAUAUGUCAAGAAAAUGACGGUAGCAUAUGAAUAAGCACCGGCUAACUCCGUGCCAGCAGCCGCGGUAAUACGGAGGGUGCAAGCGUUACUCGGAAUCACUGGGCGUAAAGGACGCGUAGGCUGGUUGGUAAGUCAGGUGUGAAAUCCUACAGCUUAACUGUAGAACUGCACUUGAAACUACCAACCUAGAGUAUGGGAGGGGGAGAUGGAAUUAGUGGUGUAGGGGUAAAAUCCGUAGAUAUCACUAGGAAUACCGAAAGCGAAGGCGAUCUCCUGGAACAUAACUGACGCUAAGGCGUGAAAGCGUGGGGAGCAAACAGGAUUAGAUACCCCAGUAGUC